RNAcentral lists this ribosomal RNA (434 nucleotides) under uncultured bacterium. RNAcentral's name for it is "partial 16S ribosomal RNA". It matches the Rfam family "Bacterial small subunit ribosomal RNA", at positions 29 to 507 of the family's 1533-position model. The record is from RNAcentral.
AGCGAACGCUGGCGGCAGGCCUAACACAUGCAAGUCGAACGAACCUUUCGGGGUUAGUGGCGGACGGGUGAGUAACACGUGGUAACGUGCCUUUAGGUUCGGAAUAACUCAGGGAAACUUGUGCUAAUACCGAAUGUGCCCUUCGGGGGAAAGAUUAAUCGCCUUUAGAGCGGCCCGCGUCUGAUUAGCUAGUUGGUUGAGGUAAUGGCUCACCAAGGCGACGAUCAGUAGCUGGUCUGAGAGGAUGAUCAGCCACAUUGGGACUGAGACACGGCCCAAACUCCUACGGGAGGCAGCAGAGGGGAAUCUUGCGCAAUGGGCGAAAGCCUGACGCAGCCAUGCCGGGUGAAUGAUGAAGGUCUUAGGAUUGUAAAAUUCUUUCACCGGGGACGAUAAUGACGGUACCCGGAGAAGAAGCCCCGGCUAACUUCGUG